RNAcentral lists this ribosomal RNA (643 nucleotides) under uncultured bacterium. Its description in RNAcentral is "bacterial SSU rRNA". It matches the Rfam family "Bacterial small subunit ribosomal RNA", at positions 189 to 851 of the family's 1533-position model. The record is from RNAcentral.
CAUGGUGCAGGGGUAAAAACUCCGGUGGUAUGAGAUGGACCCGCGUCUGAUUAGGUAGUUGGUGGGGUAACGGCCUACCAAGCCGACGAUCAGUAGCCGACCUGAGAGGGUGACCGGCCACAUUGGGACUGAGACACGGCCCAAACUCCUACGGGAGGCAGCAGUGGGGAAUAUUGCACAAUGGGGGAAACCCUGAUGCAGCGACGCCGCGUGAGCGAUGAAGUAUUUCGGUAUGUAAAGCUCUAUCAGCAGGGAAGAAAAUGACGGUACCUGACUAAGAAGCACCGGCUAAAUACGUGCCAGCAGCCGCGGUAAUACGUAUGGUGCAAGCGUUAUCCGGAUUUACUGGGUGUAAAGGGAGCGUAGACGGAGUGGCAAGUCUGAUGUGAAAACCCGGGGCUCAACCCCGGGACUGCAUUGGAAACUGUCAAUCUAGAGUACCGGAGAGGUAAGCGGAAUUCCUAGUGUAGCGGUGAAAUGCGUAGAUAUUAGGAGGAACACCAGUGGCGAAGGCGGCUUACUGGACGGUAACUGACGUUGAGGCUCGAAAGCGUGGGGAGCAAACAGGAUUAGAUACCCUGGUAGUCCACGCCGUAAACGAUGACUACGAGGUGUCGGGCAGCAAAGCUGUUCGGUGCCGCAG